RNAcentral lists this non-coding RNA (24 nucleotides) under Arabidopsis thaliana (thale cress). Lineage: Eukaryota; Viridiplantae; Streptophyta; Magnoliopsida; Brassicales; Brassicaceae. The record is from RNAcentral.
GUAACGAUCUGGGCACUGUCUCGG